RNAcentral lists this transfer RNA (58 nucleotides) under Mus musculus (house mouse). It matches the Rfam family "tRNA", at positions 8 to 63 of the family's 71-position model. Rfam says of the family: Transfer RNA (tRNA) molecules are approximately 80 nucleotides in length. Their secondary structure includes four short double-helical elements and three loops (D, anti-codon, and T loops). Further hydrogen bonds mediate the characteristic L-shaped molecular structure. tRNAs have two regions of fundamental functional importance: the anti-codon, which is responsible for specific mRNA codon recognition, and the 3' end, to which the tRNAs corresponding amino acid is attached (by aminoacyl-tRNA synthetases). tRNAs cope with the degeneracy of the genetic code in two manners: having more than one tRNA (with a specific anti-codon) for a particular amino acid; and 'wobble' base-pairing, i.e. permitting non-standard base-pairing at the 3rd anti-codon position. Lineage: Eukaryota; Metazoa; Chordata; Mammalia; Rodentia; Muridae. The record is from Rfam by way of RNAcentral.
UAGCUCAAUGGUUAGAGUGUCUGCCUCUCAUGUAGAAAGCCCUGGGUUCAAUCCCCAG